GUCUACAGCCAUACCACCCUGAACGCGCCCGAUCUCGUCUGAUCUCUGAAGCUAAGCAGGGUCGGGCCUGGUUAGUACUUGGAUGGGAGAAUGAUGACUAUUUGGAAAGUCAUAAAUA
RNAcentral lists this ribosomal RNA (118 nucleotides) under Neogale vison (American mink). The record is from RNAcentral. Lineage: Eukaryota; Metazoa; Chordata; Mammalia; Carnivora; Mustelidae.